AUUGAACGCUGGCGGCAUGCCUUACACAUGCAAGUCGAACGGCAGCACGGGUGCUUGCUCCUGGUGGCGAGUGGCGAACGGGUGAGUAAUACAUCGGCACAUGUCCUUUAGUGGGGGAUAGCCCGGCGAAAGCCGGAUUAAUACCGCUUACGAUCUACGGCUGAAAGCGGGGGACCUUCGGCCCUCGCGCUAUCGGGUUGGCCGAUGGCUGAUUAGCUAGUUGGUGGGGUAAAGGCCUACCAAGGCGACGAUCAGUAGCUGGUCUGAGAGGACGACCAGCCACACUGGGACUGAGACACGGCCCAGACUCCUACGGGAGGCAGCAGUGGGGAAUUUUGGACAAUGGGCGAAAGCCUGAUCCAGCAAUGCCGCGUGUGUGAAGAAGGCCUUCGGGUUGUAAAGCACUUUUGUCCGGAAAGAAAUCCUUGGCCCUAAUACGGUCGGGGGAUGACGGUACCGGAAGAAUAAGCACCGGCUAACUACGUG
This 486-nucleotide ribosomal RNA is filed under the name uncultured bacterium. Its description in RNAcentral is "partial 16S ribosomal RNA". It matches the Rfam family "Bacterial small subunit ribosomal RNA", at positions 30 to 507 of the family's 1533-position model. The record is from RNAcentral.